This is a non-coding RNA of Ciborinia camelliae, 107 nucleotides long. NCBI's taxonomy places the organism in Eukaryota, Fungi, Ascomycota, Leotiomycetes, Helotiales, Sclerotiniaceae. The record is from the annotation of a GenBank genome assembly.
GGCACUACAGAGAAGUGGUUAACGCGACGCCCUGAUAUUUACUCACUGGGUAUAGGAAUAGCCAGACAUUUCCUUCGGGAGCCAGAGUUCGAAUCUCUGUGGUGUCG